Long non-coding RNA from Suricata suricatta (meerkat), 4503 nucleotides. RefSeq lists it as uncharacterized. NCBI's taxonomy places the organism in Eukaryota, Metazoa, Chordata, Mammalia, Carnivora, Herpestidae. The record is from RefSeq and is a predicted model, not a curated record. The transcript has 7 exons.
AAACUGAUCUGGGAUUGGGGGACAUCGGUGUUAGGAAGCGUAUUGGUUUCUUCGUGAUACUCCCUGCUAUUGGUUGAAAGAAGUGGAAGUUUUUUCUUGGCUGCAGUCCGACUCACGUUAACUUGUUACUUUUCUCUCGUGGCUAUCGCUUUGCUGGUGCUCUCUCACCGGAGUUCUUUCGGCCAUCCUUUCAUUGGUUUUGGUGACAGGCCCUUACCUCCGAGAAUACUUACUGGUCAAGUUGAGCGGUGUGGUCAGGCAGCAGUAUGGUUUUGACUUGAGAAUCUGCAGGUUUCACAUAAACUGGAGCGUCUUUAUAAUCUGUGGUUGCUCGGCUAUUUUUCAGCAAAAUACGUAUACUAUCUCGUGUAACGUUUCAGCAACCUCUCUGUGUUGUCACUGGGGGUACUAUGGAAUCUAGAUGAGAAGGGCUUUCCUAUUUUGAGUUGACAGAUGAAUGAAACAAGGUAACAUCUGUGUAAAUGUUAGUAUCUGAGUUCUUGUCCGACAGACGCUCAUUUGUUUAACAUCUGUCUUUCCAUUCCUUGUCGGAUAAGUGCAGAGUAAUCAUCAGUCUUGGCUGUGGAGGUGGCUUAGUAAUCAAGUGAAGGAGAUGAAACAAACGGCCAAGCGUGAUUGGGUGGCUUGGAGGUUGUAGGUGUUCCCUUCUGACGGUUCGUUUGUGUGAAUGUUUACGUUUUCAUCACCAAAAAUCGGACGUAGACAUCCGUUGUCUUCCUUGGUAGAUUUAUGGGAAUUCAGAAGUUGUGAUGAUUCGGAAAACUUCAUUCCCUUGUCAUGCCUUGUCUGAGGAGCAGGGAGCUUAGGCGUACAGAUGACUACACCUGCACACUUAUUGGCACUGAUUUUUUUUUUUAAGGUGAACUCAUUUAUUAUCCCUGGGGGCUAGAAUACAGGAAUAUUUUUAUUUUAAUAUUUGCUUUAAAAUUUUGAGCUUGCCAGCGUUUUUAAAAAUUCUUCCUCUUAAGCAUGAAUUUCCCGAAUUUAUACCAAUCUGAAUAUGGCCUUAUGUAUUGCAUGAUCCCAUUGAGGAAUACAGAUAUAAACCCUUUGUUUUUUAAAUGUAUUUUUUAGAAAGUCUUUUUUUUUUUGACUGUUAAUUUUUUUUUUUUUUUUACUUUUUAAAACUUACUUGAACAUAAAUUACACUGACUUCGUAUAUUUUUUAUGGCUGAUAUUUUUUGAGAUUAUGGGAUAUGCAAUAAUCCGGAAGAAAUUUGUGCUAAAAUUGAGUGUCACUCAGAGCACCUGGCUAGCUCAGUCAGAAUACGUGACUUUUGAUCGUGUGAGUUCAAGCUCCACAUUGGGUGUAGAGAUUGCUUAAAAAUAAAUAAACUUUUUAAAAAUUGAGUGCCAUUCGUCAUAAUGGCCGACAAUCUUGGCAAACACCGCUGAAUCCACCAAAAACAAAUCUGGCCUUUCUGUAGGCUUGUUCUUGCUCCACAAAGUCCUAGAGUUUAAACUGUCUUUUUCCUAAACCAAGAGGAUUAUUCGUGACAGUUUGAAGAAUAAUUAUUUUGUUGGUUCCCCCCCCCCAAACUUGUGAAUAAUCUUGCUUUAAGGAAAACUUUGAAAUAAUCCUUUCAGCAAAUUGGUGUUAGUAGGCACUUGUGCUAGACUUGAGGACUCCUACCCGUUAGAAAAUGCCUGUCUUAGGUAACUCUUUUGUACAGCUUCAAGCAUUUACUUAGCCUGCAGUAAAAGGAUAAGGUGCACGUAUUAAUCCUCUUCCAAAGAAGAACCACCUGACAUCUUGCUAGCUAUGUUAGAUACUAAAGAAGGCUUCCCCACAAUCCAUUUGCAUCUGCUUUGACUGGUGGUUUCUAUCAACCUACAAAGACUGACUUAUUGGUGAGGGCAGCUGGACAACCCUGAGAGCAACUUAGAGAAAUCCAUCUUGGGCACACUCUAUAAAGGAGCUCCUUCUCUGGAAAUAGCACCCCAGAUAAGUGCACAAAAGCAAGACACCCUCGUGGACCUACUUCCUCCCGCUUUCAACACCCUGAUGCCUGAAGCUAUGCUUGAUACUAAAGGAGGUUUUGCAUCUUCUGUGUUUUGAGAUUGCAACUGUGGACAGUUAUGGCUAAUCCUAGUAGAUUGUCUUCCCUUCUUUUAACAUCUCGGAUGAAUCUGGGGCACACUAGUGUGUUAUGUGAAGAUGGAUGUUGAAUAUACUGUGUAGAUCCACCCCAGCCAGCCAUCUUAAAAUACCUGCAUGGGCCACAGAAAUAUCUGCGGAGAAAGUUUGGGUAAAAUCAGUGCAUAUGAUGAUAGUGUGUAGAAUUUGACAGCAGUAUCAGGAGCUGAGGAGGAGGAGAAGAUGGAAAGGAGUCUAGCGACUUAAAAAUCUCAUAGCGUUCUCUGUGAGACCCAUCUGAAACGCCGGCUCGCAGAGGCGCACGGAUGGGUAGACGCCGCUCCAGACAACGAUGGUGGGGGCUGUGUGGCCGUACUCAUACAGUGCACUGGAAACGCGGGAGGAAGCAGCUGAAGAAAUGUGCUUAGAGAAACAAAACAAACUUGUUUAGAAGUGUUAGCCUUUCGGCAAGAACAAUUUCUCAAAGCGUUGACGUCCUCGGGAGCAGUGUCAGGAGUCAGAAAACCAGGCAGAGGCUCCCGCGGGGUCCUUGGCUCUUGAGUCCUACUGUCCUGUGUAGUCGGUUUCUUCAUGGAGUCAGUGCCUCGUUUGAAGCGACUGAAGAGUAUCAGUGAAUAGUCUAUUUAAAACAAUGACAGCUGAGAGUAUUUUCAAAAAAGUUCAGCCGGGACAACCUGGAGUGUGAUCUGCCGACAUCUGCUGCAGCCGGUGACGUUCAGAGCACGUGUGGAGCCGAAGGUUUCACUGGGCAAGUUUGCAACACUUCAGAGAUUGUCAGGUGCUUAAAGCCUGUUGUUACUCAUUGUAUUAUUCAUCAGCAGGAACUCUGCGGAAAAAUAUUUGAUCGUGUCUUAUUGAACCAGUAGAAUCAGCAGUGAACCUCACUCCUCCCUGUGGACUUCACUAUGAUCAAUUCCAUCAAUUUCUGUCAGAAGAAGCAGCUGAGUAUUCUGACGCUCGCUUGAUGGCCUAGCAGUGGUGACGUUUUCUUGCAGUUUCCUGAGUUCAGGGCUGACAUCAAAAUUUUUCUGAAUGAGAAGAAUCCUUUCCCACCACUGUUGGACACGGAGUAGCUUUGGAAACGGCUUUUCCUGCAGACUUGGGAAGGCUCCUUGGUGAGCUCAGCCUAAAGCCACAGGGCAAACGGCCUGUCUGCAAACCUUGAAUUGCAGCACAGCCACUUCGGCCACUAAUGUUUGAGUCACGUCCAGCUGUCCAGCUACUUUAUGUACUUCCUACGCACUGUCAGAAGUUGAAACAAAGGCAAGAUCUACAUUCCUACACAGAGUUACUGUGGAUUUGUUUCUAGAGGAAAACUAUGGUUCUAACUGAUUUUGCAGCUUGAUGUGGGUGCAAAAGAAGUUGCAUAUUUCAAAAUCCAUUUACCUGCUCAACUAAGGAGUUUACACCACCCCUUUAACUGGAAGUGAUUAAAAGGCAGAAUAUCAGGACUCCAAUACAAUCUAUAAAUCUGUAUACAAUCUAUAAGUAUCUUCUAAGGGAAGAAUGUGCUCAAUUAAAAUCAUGCUUGUGGGGGAAAAAAUUGUGCUUGUGGAAUGGUAAUGGCAUUUGGCAGUACCUGUCUGUGUGAAGAGACAUUUUCAAAGAUGAGAUCUCUAAAAUCUUAUUACAGAAUCUGCAUUAGCAGAGGAACAUUUCUAACCAAUUUGGUGAGAGGGACCCUUAACUCUACAAACACUGUUCCACUCACCCACCCUCAAAAUCUGAUCUUAUUAGUAGACCUCUGUUGUAGCCAAUUAUUAUAUUUUGAAUUUCAUCAAUUAAAAAAAGUGGACGUUUUCUCUCAUUACGUUAGUAUAUAACAUCCUCAAUUUGGCCCCUUGGCCUUCAGAAUCUAAAAUACUUAGUAUCUGGACCUUUUAGAAAAAGUUCAUGGACCCUGCUCUAGAGUCUGGUUUGUUGUUGGGGAAGGGAGCAGGUCGUGGCUUUAGGCAGAGAGAGUCAGAGUGAGACCAUGCAGCACGUUGUUCUAGAAGUGGGGGACUGGAUUCGGAUUAGAACACCAGCUCCUUUCUCCCCACUGCCUCUAAGUAUUGUCUUUCUGUCACCUCUGACACUUUUCUGUCUAUUCUGAUUGUUUAUUCUCCUCACACUUUUCCCCAGGAGAGUGAAAUACCCAAAUUGACAAAUCUGUUAAGAACACUUGGAAUAGGAUUUAAAGUUUAGUUGGAAAUUUAACUGGUAGCAGUUUAGCACUUGAUUUAUCACCUUCAGAGCGAUGUAACUGAACUGAACUUCUUGUUAAUCCCUCAUGUUGCUACCACCAUUAGUGGAGCAAGUGAUUAAAUUUAGAUUUCCAAUAGCGUGCUCUUUGCUGUUACUUAUAACUUUGAAAAAUAAAAAUAACCCAGUAGUCCUUGAAA